RNAcentral lists this ribosomal RNA (421 nucleotides) under uncultured bacterium. Its description in RNAcentral is "bacterial SSU rRNA". It matches the Rfam family "Bacterial small subunit ribosomal RNA", at positions 356 to 773 of the family's 1533-position model. The record is from RNAcentral.
GGGGAAUAUUGCGCAAUGGGCGAAAGCCUGACGCAGCCACGCCGCGUGAGCGAUGAAGGCCUUCGGGUCGUAAAGCUCUGUGGGGAGAGACGAAGAAAGCCCGUGAAGAGCGGGCCUUGACGGUAUCUCCUUAGCAAGCACCGGCUAACUCCGUGCCAGCAGCCGCGGUAAUACGGAGGGUGCAAACGUUGCUCGGAAUCAUUGGGCGUAAAGCGCACGUAGGCGGCGAAGCAAGUUGGGUGUGAAAGCCCUGGGCUCAACCCAGGAAGUGCAUUCAAAACUGCUUCGCUUGAAUCUCGGAGGGGGUCAGAGAAUUCCCGGUGUAGAGGUGAAAUUCGUAGAUAUCGGGAGGAAUACCAGUGGCGAAGGCGCUGACCUGGACGAAGAUUGACGCUGAGGUGCGAAAGCGCGGGGAGCAAAC